UAAUUGAAGAGUUUGAUCAUGGCUCAGAUUGAACGCUGGCGGCAGGCCUAACACAUGCAAGUCGAGCGGUAACAGGAGAAAGCUUGCUUUCUUGCU
This 96-nucleotide ribosomal RNA is filed under the name Proteus mirabilis. Its description in RNAcentral is "partial 16S ribosomal RNA". It matches the Rfam family "Bacterial small subunit ribosomal RNA", at positions 1 to 93 of the family's 1533-position model. The record is from RNAcentral. Lineage: Bacteria; Pseudomonadati; Pseudomonadota; Gammaproteobacteria; Enterobacterales; Morganellaceae.